RNAcentral lists this ribosomal RNA (467 nucleotides) under Salmonella enterica. Its description in RNAcentral is "bacterial SSU rRNA". It matches the Rfam family "Bacterial small subunit ribosomal RNA", at positions 1 to 464 of the family's 1533-position model. Lineage: Bacteria; Pseudomonadati; Pseudomonadota; Gammaproteobacteria; Enterobacterales; Enterobacteriaceae. The record is from RNAcentral.
AAAUUGAAGAGUUUGAUCAUGGCUCAGAUUGAACGCUGGCGGCAGGCCUAACACAUGCAAGUCGAACGGUAACAGGAAGCAGCUUGCUGCUUCGCUGACGAGUGGCGGACGGGUGAGUAAUGUCUGGGAAACUGCCUGAUGGAGGGGGAUAACUACUGGAAACGGUGGCUAAUACCGCAUAACGUCGCAAGACCAAAGAGGGGGACCUUCGGGCCUCUUGCCAUCAGAUGUGCCCAGAUGGGAUUAGCUUGUUGGUGAGGUAACGGCUCACCAAGGCGACGAUCCCUAGCUGGUCUGAGAGGAUGACCAGCCACACUGGAACUGAGACACGGUCCAGACUCCUACGGGAGGCAGCAGUGGGGAAUAUUGCACAAUGGGCGCAAGCCUGAUGCAGCCAUGCCGCGUGUAUGAAGAAGGCCUUCGGGUUGUAAAGUACUUUCAGCGGGGAGGAAGGUGUUGCGGUUAAU